RNAcentral lists this ribosomal RNA (498 nucleotides) under uncultured Glomeromycotina. RNAcentral's name for it is "partial small subunit ribosomal RNA". It matches the Rfam family "Eukaryotic small subunit ribosomal RNA", at positions 591 to 1092 of the family's 1831-position model. Lineage: Eukaryota; Fungi; Glomeromycota. The record is from RNAcentral.
CCAAUAGCGUAUAUUAAAGUUGUUGCAGUUAAAAAGCUCGUAGUUGAAUUUCGGGAUUAGUACGCUGGUCGUGCCUUCGGUAUGUACUGGUGUUACUGGUUCCUACCUUCUGACGAACCGUCAUGUCAUUAAUUUGGUGUGGCGGGGAAUCAGGACUGUUACUUUGAAAAAAUUAGAGUGUUUAAAGCAGGCUCGCGCUUGAAUACAUUAGCAUGGAAUAAUGAAAUAGGACGUUCGAUCCUAUUUUGUUGGUUUCUAGGAUUGACGUAAUGAUUAAUAGGGAUAGUUGGGGGCAUUAGUAUUCAAUUGUCAGAGGUGAAAUUCUUGGAUUUAUUGAAGACUAACUACUGCGAAAGCAUUUGCCAAGGAUGUUUUCAUUAAUCAAGAACGAAAGUUAGGGGAUCGAAGACGAUCAGAUACCGUCGUAGUCUUAACCAUAAACUAUGCCGACUAGGGAUCGGAUGAUGUUAUUUUUAAUGACUCAUUCGGCGCCUUACG